UACGAACCGUGCGAACGUUGUUCGGAAUCACUGGGCUUAAAGGGCGCGUAGGCGGGCUGACAAGUCUGGGGUGAAAUCCCGCGGCUCAACCGUGGAACUGCCUUAGAUACUGUCGGCCUCGAGGAAGGUAGGGGCAUGCGGAACUGUAGGUGGAGCGGUGAAAUGCGUUGAUAUCUACAGGAACUCCGGUGGCGAAAGCGGCGUGCUGGACCUUUUCUGACGCUGAGGCGCGAAAGCUAGGGGAGCAAACGGG
Molecule: ribosomal RNA, 253 nt
Filed under: uncultured bacterium
Lineage: Bacteria
Description: partial 16S ribosomal RNA
Rfam family: Bacterial small subunit ribosomal RNA
Source: RNAcentral